UGGGCAUCCAAGCGCUUGGCAACCAGCUCAUUCUGACUCUCCUCUUGCCUCCAGAGCAGCUUCUUUAAGACUUCCAGUCGAACCUCCUGCAGCCUGCAAAGAAAGGCCAGCUGGGAUCAAACCAGAGGAUUCCAUGCUGAGAUUGCUUGUCUUCAAAGACCUCAUCUAAGCCCUCCAACAUGCACUGUGGAACUUCACGAGCCACUGUAUGGCUACCUAUUGCAGCAAAGCCUACAGAGAUAUGCUUCAUUAACCUCCCGUGACAUACAAUUUACUGCCAAGAAUCAGAAGCCCAAAUUGUGAUGCCAGGAUAAAGUUUAACUAAGACACCCCUGCACUAAAAAUGUGGUGUCCUGGUUCAGGCCUUGUAUACCCUUGAAUGAGCAGCAAAAGCAAUCUAACCAGCUGCAACUGCGCUAGUUGAAACCUGCACUGGACUAAAAAGAAAGAGCUCCCGCUGAAGUACACACAUGAGUCAUUGAAGUCUUCAUAACUUAUUUC
Neopsephotus bourkii (Bourke's parrot) is the source of this 501-nucleotide long non-coding RNA. RefSeq lists it as uncharacterized. The record is from RefSeq and is a predicted model, not a curated record. Lineage: Eukaryota; Metazoa; Chordata; Aves; Psittaciformes; Psittacidae. The transcript has 3 exons.